Molecule: ribosomal RNA, 257 nt
Filed under: uncultured bacterium
Lineage: Bacteria
Description: partial small subunit ribosomal RNA
Rfam family: Bacterial small subunit ribosomal RNA
Source: RNAcentral
AGGACGAACGCUGGCGGCGUGCUUAACACAUGCAAGUCGAGCGGAAAGGCCCUUCGGGGUACUCGAGCGGCGAACGGGUGAGUAACACGUGAGCAACCUGCCCUUAGCUCUGGGAUAGCUCCGGGAAACCGGAAUUAAUACCGGAUAUGACCUAGGCCGACAUCGGCCGUGGUGGAAAGGUUUUUCGGCUAGGGAUGGACUCGCGGCCUAGUCAGCUAGUUGGUGGGGUAAUGGGCCUACCAAGGCGACGACGGGUA